Small nuclear RNA from Cornus florida, 160 nucleotides. RefSeq annotates it as U1 spliceosomal RNA. The transcript has a single exon. The record is from RefSeq and is a predicted model, not a curated record. Lineage: Eukaryota; Viridiplantae; Streptophyta; Magnoliopsida; Cornales; Cornaceae.
AUACUUACCUGGAUGGGAUCAAUGGGCGAUCAAUAAGGCCCAUGGUCUAGGUUGGUGACCUUCAUUGCACUCAAGAGGGGUGCCCGCCUAAGGUCUACUCAAAUAGUGGAACCUACAUCAUAAUUUGUGAUAGUGGGGGCCUGUAUUCGCAUGGCUCCUG